Molecule: long non-coding RNA, 767 nt
Organism: Setaria italica (foxtail millet)
Lineage: Eukaryota; Viridiplantae; Streptophyta; Magnoliopsida; Poales; Poaceae
Exons: 2
Source: RefSeq, a predicted model, not a curated record
GGGAUAAAAGGGGGUCAUUUAUCAGGUCCUCAAACCAAAGAAGCUAUAUGUUGCUAUUAAGGAACUCCAAAGAAAAUCAGAUCUGAUGCAGAAAGAGAUACUUGAACUGUUGGGUACCUCUGUGACACGAAGGUUGAAGGGCUGGUCUCUAUUGGACAUUGAAGAACCUGGAGAUGAUAAAAGUGGAUCUUUGCUUAUAGUGUUUGAUGGAAUCUGUCCUGAGACUCCACUCCCUCAUGUUGAUCUCACUGUAAUGCUAUCAACAGCCGCAGACAGAGGAAUUCUUGCCAGAAUGGGUGUUAGGGAGCUGAGUGCGUCCUCAUACAUCUUUUUUCAUGGACCUUCCUCGCCGACAAAUCCAGGAAAGAAGGGCCAGAACUAGCUUUGAGUACUGAUGGUGUGGUCGUGGAGAGGUUUGAAUGUACUGAAAGACAAAGCGGUUGUAGUCGUGUGGAGACGUAUGGCUGAUUUGCUGAAGUGUUUUGUCAGUCAUCAAGUUGACUAGCAGUCCUACCACUACUGCCAAUUCCAGAGUAGUCGUUUAUAAUGGAACGUGGAAAACUGGAAGAGCGAAUAGUUUUACUUUUAGGAGUCAUAUUACUUUUGGUUCAUGAUAGCGCUUACCGUGUUCGCUUGCGCUGGUAGCGGUUACUGACACGAUACUGAUGCCCUUCUGGUAUGCUGUUGUGUCACAUUCUGUGACUUUUGAAGAUACUUGUUCGUGAUGAAAUAUCAUUGAGCGACAGAGGUUGUCUGAUGAGUUUUUA